GGAGUGGACUCUACUCUGUAUAGGCAAGGACUUGGCUUUUUUAAAGAAAAUAAAAGCCUUCACAGAAGAGAAUUGCCUGUCAAGGGCCGGGAAGAGGAGAACUGCAGAUCUUCAGUGUCCCGGGCUGCCUAAGGACUCUGCUCUUUCACAGCCACUUCUCCCGUGCAAGCAGCCCCUUUUCCCAGGUUCCUGGAGUACCCAACACACAGCUUCUGCUCUGCAAAGGCAUUGUCUGCCAGGCUUAGAAGAAGAAAAAGGAAAAGAAAAACAAACAAAGACAAAGAAAAAAACCUUCCGCUGUUGAAUUAAAACAGCCAACUCCAGCCCCCAAGCAAGUUUCAGUCUCUAUUAAGCCAACAAAAGGCCCUAAAUGCCAGGCCAGGGACACAAAGAGCGAGGAGAAAGGGGGAGCCACGGGAGGAGGAGAGCGUGAGGAAGAGAAGGAAACUCAAUUAACUGGUAGGUUUCUAGAGUUAUCUCUGGUGGGUCUGCCCUCACCCCAAG
RNAcentral lists this long non-coding RNA (504 nucleotides) under Fukomys damarensis (Damara mole-rat). RNAcentral describes it as "lncRNA (ENSFDAG00000033130.1)". The record is from RNAcentral. Lineage: Eukaryota; Metazoa; Chordata; Mammalia; Rodentia; Bathyergidae.